RNA transcript from Sorghum bicolor (sorghum), 892 nucleotides. RefSeq lists it as uncharacterized. NCBI's taxonomy places the organism in Eukaryota, Viridiplantae, Streptophyta, Magnoliopsida, Poales, Poaceae. The transcript has 7 exons. The record is from RefSeq and is a predicted model, not a curated record.
AAAAUCUCAGCCCAAUCGUCCACCACGGGUCCACGGGCCACCUCCGUCGUUCCCCACCCGUCUCCCUCGCGUUCCUCUCGUCCGUACGCCGCCGCUGCCGCCUGGCUCGCACCGCCGCCUUACGCCAGGUGCCGAGGCCCUCGCCGAUCUCUUAGCCGGCAAAGAGUGGCCACUAGAUCCGCUCCUGAUGGACAACGUCGAGUCUGCCCCUGACUCGCCGGCGCAGGCGCCGCCGUCAUCCGCCUCUUCUCUCCCCAAGGAACAAUCGCAGGUGGAGUUGGAGCUGAGGCUGCUUCAGGCUCUCGAGUUCUACCCUCCAUCAAAACUCAAAGGCAUUCAUCGGCACUUUGUUCUCUAUGGCCUCAUGGAAUUUUUGCGAAAAAGCCUUGAUCGGCAAUUCUCUCCUGAUGAAGUUUUACAACUCUUGGACCGCUUCUUUAACCUAGAAAUGCUGUUUCACAUUCGUAUGGAAAUUCUACAGUUGGGUCGCGACUCACAAGUUUUACUUAUGAUGAUCUUAUGACGAUUAAUAAAAUGAAGAAACCAGAGGACGAUGAAAAGGACAACUUCAGUCAGGGGGAAGAAUUUUCCUUGCCAGAGAGUUUUCUCAACAAGGAAGAAUAAUAGCAAGUAGUAGCUUGGUAAUUUCAUAGGAGGUACUUUGGGCGUCGUCUGGAAGAGAGAUCAGAACGCUGGUUUCCCACUUUUUCUAGUAGCAUUGUCGUCCAGAACAUCGGUUGCGAGGAGACACUGAACACUGAAGUAAAAAAACACAUUUCCUAAGCUGUGGUUGUGUUUACUGGCUGUACAUCUUUUGUUCACUUCUAGUGUAAUCGAUGGGCCUGUUCAGUUCCUCAUUUGAGGCAAAAAAAAAAAAAGUUUGGGUUUUGGU